AUUGAACGCUGGCGGCAUGCUUUACACGUGCAAGUCGAACGGUAACAGGCCUUCGGGUGCUGACGAGUGGCGAACGGGUGAGUAAUGCAUCGGAACGUACCCAGAGGUGGGGGAUAACGCAGCGAAAGCUGUGCUAAUACCGCAUGUGAUCUGAGGAUGAAAGCGGGGGACCGAGCAGCAAUGUUUGGCCUCGCGCCUUUGGAGCGGCCGAUGUCGGAUUAGCUAGUUGGUGGGGUAAAGGCCUACCAAGGCGACGAUCCGUAGCUGGUCUGAGAGGACGACCAGCCACACUGGGACUGAGACACGGCCCAGACUCCUACGGGAGGCAGCAGUGGGGAAUUUUGGACAAUGGGCGCAAGCCUGAUCCAGCAAUGCCGCGUGCGGGAAGAAGGCCUUCGGGUUGUAAACAGCUUUUGGCAGGAACGAAACGGUGUCCGCUAAUACCGGGCGCUAAUGACGGUACCUGCAGAAUAAGCACCGGCUAACUACGUG
RNAcentral lists this ribosomal RNA (492 nucleotides) under uncultured bacterium. RNAcentral describes it as "partial 16S ribosomal RNA". It matches the Rfam family "Bacterial small subunit ribosomal RNA", at positions 29 to 507 of the family's 1533-position model. The record is from RNAcentral.